Molecule: small nuclear RNA, 104 nt
Organism: Nyctereutes procyonoides (raccoon dog)
Lineage: Eukaryota; Metazoa; Chordata; Mammalia; Carnivora; Canidae
Source: RefSeq, a predicted model, not a curated record
GUGCUCACUUCAGUAGCAUAUGUAUUAAAACUAAACUGAUACAGAAAUUAGCAUGGCCUCUGCACAAGUAUCACAUGCAAAUUUGCAAAACAUUCCAUAUGUUU